Molecule: ribosomal RNA, 588 nt
Filed under: Triticum aestivum (bread wheat)
Lineage: Eukaryota; Viridiplantae; Streptophyta; Magnoliopsida; Poales; Poaceae
Description: partial small subunit ribosomal RNA
Source: RNAcentral
AUGGAAUGGAAGCCAAAUGUACUCUCUUGGAACGUGAGGGGUCUCAAUAACCCUGCUAAAACAAAUGCGGUUAGGGAGUUUGUAAUAGAUGCUAAGGUGAACUUGGUGUGUCUCCUUGAGACAAAGUUACAUGUACUUGAUCAAUACUUGGUGAUGCAAUGCAUUGGGCCAUCGUUUGAUGGUUUUGCUUAACUGCUGGCGAUCGACACGAGGAGUGGUAUUUUGCUAGCUUGGGAUAGUUCUUACAUGGAGAUUGAUAAUCUAUCCCGGGACUGUAACUUCCUCACGGGGCACGUGCGUAACAAAGAUGGAUGGGAGUGGUGGUUAUCCGUGGUCUAUGGCCCACAAGGGGAUGAGUUGAAGAUCAAUUUUCUGGUGGAGUUGCAGCAUCGGAGAGAUGUUUGCCCGGGACCGUGGAUGGUUCUUGGAGACUUCAAUAUGAUCUUAAGAGCGGAGGAGAAGAAUAACACCAAUCUCAAUAGAUCCAUGAUGAGGAGAUUCAAGGCGUUUGUGGACAAUAAUGAGCUCAAAGAACUCUACAUGCAUGGGAGGAGGUUUGCUGGUCUAAUGAGAGAGAGAACGUGGUGA